CACCUAAUAAUGAACCUUCUCAUCAUUGUCAAAGUUCAGCCCCUCGAUUCCCUUGAGAGCAGAUUCAUAGGUCUUCAUGUGCGUGGCAUUUCUGGCUGAUGACGAACGUCUGGGGUCUGCUGCAGAACCAAGAGGACUCCUUUGCCCACUUGAAAUUUUAUGCAUGUUUCCCGGGCUUGCAUCAGUUGUGCGAGACCGUUGGGGAUCAGCUUCACUUCCAACAAAUAUAUCACGACUGGUAGAAACGGUAGCAGCUUGUCUCGAGGAUCGACUUGAUCGCCCCAUAAAAGUAGAGCUUGGCAACAUGGGAUCCUUAUUAAGUGAAGAAUCAUUGGCAACUGGGCUCUUCUGCUUUGCAUAACCUCCGGUACUUAGGAUAGGUCCUGAAAAUCUACGCCGAGCAGAAUCUGUAGACUGCCCUGCCUGUCGUGCAUCUUCCCCACCUGUCUGUCUAUCCGCACUGGCAAUAGCAGGGGGCAUUCCAGAACUAGUUCCAAUUCCGGGGCCAAGGGCACGAGCUGGAGGAUUAGCCAGCUGUGAUUGCUGAUACUUCAAUAUUGUCCAGUC
RNAcentral lists this unclassified non-coding RNA (567 nucleotides) under Hevea brasiliensis (rubber tree). Lineage: Eukaryota; Viridiplantae; Streptophyta; Magnoliopsida; Malpighiales; Euphorbiaceae. The record is from RNAcentral.